Molecule: non-coding RNA, 75 nt
Organism: Dermacentor albipictus
Lineage: Eukaryota; Metazoa; Arthropoda; Arachnida; Ixodida; Ixodidae
Source: the annotation of a RefSeq genome assembly
GCCAACGGUAGCUCAGUUGGUAAGAGCGUCGCACUCUUAAUGCGAAGACGUGGGUUCGUGCUCCACCUGCGUGCA